UCCCUGGUAGUAUAUCGGCUGAGUACACGCGCCUGUCACUGUGAUGAACGCGCGAGAGCGGGGUUCGACUCCCCGCCAGGGAG
Fomitiporia mediterranea MF3/22 is the source of this 83-nucleotide non-coding RNA. The record is from the annotation of a RefSeq genome assembly. NCBI's taxonomy places the organism in Eukaryota, Fungi, Basidiomycota, Agaricomycetes, Hymenochaetales, Hymenochaetaceae.